AGGGUUUGAUCCUGGCUCAGAUUGAACGCUGGCGGAAUGCUUUACACAUGCAAGUCGAACGAUGAAGCCUAGCUUGCUAGGUGAAUUAGUGGCGGACGGGUGAGUAAUAUAUCGGAACGUGUCCAUUAAUGGGGGAUAACUAAUCGAAAGGUUAGCUAAUACCGCAUACGCCCUGAGGGGGAAAGCUGGGGAUCUUCGGACCUAGCGUUAAUGGAGCGGCCGAUACCUGAUUAGCUAGUUGGUGGGGUAAAAGUCUACCAAGGCAACGAUCAGUAGCUGGUCUGAGAGGACGACCAGCCACACUGGGACUGAGACACGGCCCAGACUCCUACGGGAGGCAGCAGUGGGGAAUUUUGGACAAUGGGGGCAACCCUGAUCCAGCCAUUCCGCGUGAGUGAAGAAGGCCUUCGGGUUGUAAAGCUCUUUCGCAAGGGAAGAAACGAUAUAGGUUAAUAGCUUAUGUUAAUGACGGUACCUUGACAAGAAGCACCGGCUAACUACGUGCCAGCAGCCGCGGUAAUACGUAGGGUGCAAGCGUUAAUCGGAAUUACUGGGCGUAAAGCGUGCGCAGGCUGUUUUGUAAGUCAGAUGUGAAAUCCCCGAGCUCAACUUGGGAACUGCGUUUGAAACUACAAGACUAGAAUAGGUCAGAGGGGGGUAGAAUUCCAUGUGUAGCAGUGAAAUGCGUAGAG
This 692-nucleotide ribosomal RNA is filed under the name uncultured bacterium. RNAcentral describes it as "bacterial SSU rRNA". It matches the Rfam family "Bacterial small subunit ribosomal RNA", at positions 8 to 695 of the family's 1533-position model. The record is from RNAcentral.